UCUAUCUCUGCGAUGUCAGAAACCCUGUACCUCGGUAGAUGUAUGUUUCCGUGCUGCACACGUGACGUCAAUUAAUGUACACUUAAACCAGAAUCAGACAGAAGUAAAUCACAACAAAGGUAUGUCCGGGCAAAGUUGGAUGUAGAACGAAUGUGUCUCUCAGAUGGAGGAAGACUUCGUCAGCGCUUUACUCCGAAACUCGGGAAAUUCCCCUGAACCACAAAGAAGAGCUUCGCCGUCUGUUGACAAACCAUGCGCCUCCAAUUCCUACCAAAACUUGAGAAGUCCCGAGAUAUCGGGGAUGUGGGACUCGACUUUGGAUAUUUCUGUGACUUACGACACCGCCCCUGCCCGGACCUCAGAGCCCCGCUGGAUGCACGACACUGAGUACGCCCUCAUUGCAUACAGCAUUUACGGCUGCAUUUUGUUCGUUCUCGCCUGUAUUGUGACUACUCUCUUGGUCGUGUUCGGAAAUACAGAAAAGUCUACUUGAUUUGCUACAACUCACACUAUGAACACUUUGACCUAUAUGCUUUAGAGAAAGUUCACCAUGCAUUUUCAUACUAAUAUAAAGAAAUCAUUGUUUUCUUAAAUAGAGUAGAAUUUUAUUCUAAGUUCAAAAAGACAUGUAGUCGUGAUGCUUUGAAGAUUCUUCACUCAGACAGAGGGCUUUUUUCGCAAACCUUAGCUUCAUCAGAUCUGUAACCUGUCGUCCAAUAUCUCAAAGAGAAUGCAGCAUAAAAGUAAUCAAUUUAUAUUUUAUAAAAAUAUAACUUGCUUUGUAAAGGAUGUAGGCUGUAAACGUGAUGUAGGAAAUCGCUUUUCAGUCUUCAAUGCCCAAUACAUGUAGGCGCCAGUCAAGGUAUGGGCGGAAGUAAUGAACCCUGCAAAACUUCCUUAAUGCUAAUCAUCCGAGGAGGAAUCGUACACGCCAGAGCUCAGUUUAUAUGAUAUCACAAACUUCUCAGUUCUCGGACACAAACGUACAUUGAAUUUAAAGAAGGCCUUAAUGAGAAAAUGUUAUUGGAUUCCCUGUUUAUGAGCCCUCUUAAAACGAGAUACAAAACCUAGGCGGACUUUAAUUUCUGUUUAUGGCUCAUUUUGCAUUAGACGGAUAUAGUAAACGAAAAUAUCACGGCAGAGGAAAUUAAAAGUUUGAAAUCAUCAUUUCCUUGGACCCCGGCCAGUUCACAAAAUACAAAAUGUAAACGAAGAAUAAAGAUGUAAAUUAUUCAUUGAUUUUGGCAGGCUGUUAAAUUGUUUGUACGAAGCUGGAGCAGUCGAGCUUUUUUUCUCUCUGAAGAGAAAUAAAACGGCAAAUUUCACAAAAAUCUUUCAGCCUUGGCUAUUGCAUGUUAAUAGGAUUGCAUGAGGGUUUAUACGGAUUAUCGGCGAGGGUUAUAUACAGAUGUGUUUCUUAUUGAUCUGCCGUCAAUUGUAUUUGUGGAUGAUAAUUGAAUAUGUCAACAGCAUAAGCCGUUUGUGUAAGAGGUAAACCUGCACAAAUGACGGAGGGCUGUGUGUGAUUGGAUUUAACUUCUAAAAGUUUCGACAGAAAUAUAGUAACGCAAAUAUGCAACAACUAAAGUCUAUACCAUUUUAAUGUCCCUCGCUGGAAACAUUUUUUCACUUAAUGGAUUGGGUGUGUAGAUCUGAAAGAUUUACGGAAUUGUUCGCAAAAUCAUAUUCGUCAUUCUUUCCAAAGUGAAUUUCAUACAAUGGAUUCUUACCCUGAUCAGCCUGAGGAAGAUUUUAUUGCUACCCUCCUCAAACAGUCGUCUUCUUCGUCACACGAUAACAAGGCUUAUUCUACCACCCCCAGUAGAACUUCCAGCCCCCGGGAUUCCCGCACGAGUCAGCCCCUAGUGAGGCACAAUGGACACCAACAAUAUGGAAACCAAGCGACGACCCUCCAACAUAAAGACAAAACGGCGAGUCCACACGCCAGUCACCUCAGUCUCACGGAUCCAUUGCUAGAUGAUAAAGUCUACUCUGCUUUAGCAUAUGGAAUUUACGGACUACUUUUAUUUUUUCUCACUACCGUGACAACAAUUUGCCUCAUUGUACUCACAUAAACUAUUCAUGUCUAUAAAUAUUUCUACAUCGUUGUGUCUUGCCAACUUGGAGAAAAUUCAAUUUUGGUGAUCUGUGACAUGUCUUUAACUUUGUAUUAAAAUAACGAGAAAAAUAAAUCAGACUUUGGGAUUGUCAAUGGAUUAGCAUUUGUGACAAUAAAACGUCGAAUGAAUUGGAAAGGGGAUUGGAAAGGAACUUAAAGAAAAGGAAAUGUUUAGCAGUCCUUCCGGACCAAGAUAUUUCCUCUGUAUCGAACAUAUAGAAAAUUCAUUUGGUUGUAUUAAAAUAUGCUAUGUAAAUAUGAAAUGCUGCCUUAGAAAAAUAAAAAUAAAUCUGUC
This is a long non-coding RNA of Saccostrea cuccullata (small rock oyster), 2414 nucleotides long. RefSeq lists it as uncharacterized. Lineage: Eukaryota; Metazoa; Mollusca; Bivalvia; Ostreida; Ostreidae. The transcript is spliced from 3 exons. The record is from RefSeq and is a predicted model, not a curated record.